Molecule: transfer RNA, 71 nt
Filed under: archaeon
Lineage: Archaea
Description: tRNA-Cys
Rfam family: tRNA
About the family: Transfer RNA (tRNA) molecules are approximately 80 nucleotides in length.
Source: RNAcentral
GCACGGAUAGCAUAGUGGUUAUGCACUCCCCUGCAGAGGGAGACACCUGGGUUCGAUUCCCGGUCCGUGCU